CCCUUAGAUGUCCUGGGCCGCACGCGCGUUACACUGAUGCAUUCAACGAGCUUAUAACCUUGGCCGAGAGGCCUGGGCAAUCUUGUUAACGUGCAUCGUGAUAGGGAUAGAUUAUUGAAAUUAUUAAUCUUGAACGAGGAAUUCCUAGUAAACGCAGAUCAUCAAUCUGCAUUGAUUACGUCCCUGCCCUUUGUACACACCGCCCGUCGCACCUACCGAUUGAAUGGUCCGGUGAAGCCUCCGGAUUGGCGUGCACCCUCGGGUGCUGCCGAGAAGUUGGCUAAACCUUACCAUUUAGAGGAAGGUGAAGUCGUAACA
RNAcentral lists this ribosomal RNA (318 nucleotides) under uncultured eukaryote. Its description in RNAcentral is "partial 18S ribosomal RNA". It matches the Rfam family "Eukaryotic small subunit ribosomal RNA", at positions 1470 to 1796 of the family's 1831-position model. The record is from RNAcentral.